Molecule: ribosomal RNA, 1353 nt
Filed under: Triticum aestivum (bread wheat)
Lineage: Eukaryota; Viridiplantae; Streptophyta; Magnoliopsida; Poales; Poaceae
Description: partial small subunit ribosomal RNA
Source: RNAcentral
AUGACUACUACAGUCUUCAAUACUUCUGCACCAGUUAAGGAAGUACCAGCAGAAAAGAUGGAUAAGAUAUUGGAUAAAGGAGUGGAAAGUUUCCUCUUACAAGUGCACAACAUAUUGAUGGAAGCACCAGAAGGCACACAAACUCCUCCUCAAAUACAAAAGUUACUGCUAGAAUAUGCUGAUCUGUUUGAGGAACCUAAGUCUUUGCCACCUAAAAGGGCUUUGGACCAUACUAUUCCCUUAGUUCCUGGUGCAACUCCACCUCAUGUGAGACCUUAUAGAGUUCCUCAACAUCAAAAACAAGAAAUGGAGGAUCAGAUUAAGAAACUGCUAGCAGCUCACCUCAUCAGGCACAGUCAAAGUCCUUAUGCAGCUCCUGUUAUACUAGUAAGGAAGAAGGAUAGUUCAAUGAGGUUAUGCACUGAUUUUAGGAAACUUAAUUCUUUAACAAUUAAGAACAAGUUUCCUAUACCAGUGAUUGAAGAUCUCUUAGAUGAAUUGCAUGGUGCUCAAUAUUUUUCUAAGAUUGAUCUCAGAUCAGGCUAUCACCAGAUCAGAAUGCAUCCUGAUGAUAUACAAAAAACUGCAUUUAGGACAUUUUUGGGCCACUUUGAAUAUUUAGUUAUGCCUUUUGGGUUGUCAAAUGCACUUGGCACCUUUCAAGCCCUAAUGAACAACAUUUUUGGGUCAUACUUGAGGAAUUUUGUAUUGGUGUUCUUUGAUGAUAUUUUAAUUUACAGCAAAAAUCUCAAGGAACACCAGGAACACUUGAAGAUAGUGUUGCAAAUACUAAAAGAACAUCAGCUGUUUGCAAAGAUGUCCAAGUGUGUCUUUGCUGUCCAACAAGUAGAAUACUUAGGACAUGUAAUAUCUGCAGAAGGAGUAGCUACAGAUCCCAAGAAAAUAGCUGCUAUUGCUGAAUGGCCAACACCUGACUCUAUUACUAAACUGAGAAGUUUCUUGGGUUUAGCUGGGUAUUACAGAAGGUUCAUCAAAGGAUAUGGAGCAAUUUGCAGACCUUUGCAUGAUUUGCUAAAGAAAGGACAAUUUGCAUGGAAACAGGAACACAACCAAGCUUUUGUCCAGUUAAAACAAGCCUUGAUCACAGCACCUAUCUUAGCACUGCCAAAUUUCUCCUUACCUUUUGUAUUGAAAACAGAUGCUUUAGGCAGAGGAAUAGGAGCUGUGCUCAUGCAACAGGGCAGGCCCAUAGCUUACUAUAGUUCAGCCCUGUGUCCGAGAAAUGCAGCCAUGUCUACAUAUGAGAAGGAAGCAUUAGCUAUAUUAGAAGCAUUAAAAAAAUGGAGGCACUACCUGCUAGGGAAUGAACUCACUAUCAAGACAGAUCAGUAG